AAUGGGUGUAUAAAAUUUUUUGUUGACCACGGGUCAAGUAGAAUUUGUGUAUAGAAACAAGAAAUCAAAUCGACCUUUUUCUCGAGUCAAAAACACUAAGAAAAUAAGGAAGAAAUUCACAAGAGGAAAAAAAAAAUAGUAGUAACGAGUAUAUCUGUGGGCAAAUACAAUUUGUUUGUCUACACAGACUCCAUGAAAUGAAGAAGAGGUAAAAGACUAAUAUUUAUGGAGGAUAAAAGACGUGGCAAUUGAUUGAAUAAGCCGAUUCGUUUACACGCAAUAGAUUUGAGUAAAUGAUCAACUAUUACAAUCAAUGAGUAUAGAAAAAAUCUCAAGAAAAGGCCAACGAUGGGAGAAAGCAACAACAAGAAAAAGCCAAGAUGGAACGUAAAAAUGAGCUAAAAAAAAGUUUGUAUUUGAUAUUUAACUGCUUGCAAGCUCACUCACCCGGAUUUCGGGUGGAAAAGUUGGUAUUGGCUCUGAUUACGUUUGAGCGGCUACGAUAUGAAGAAAGCACCAAACUUGGCGGAAAACGGAUCUCUGCAAGAGAACUGAUGGAACAAGUAUACGUACAGACGUAACCCUGGUUUUUUUGAUAAAAAAAAACUAUUGCGCCUCUUAUGAUGAAACGAAAAAAAAGGGAAAUCUAACGUUAUAAAAGAAAUGUCCGAUUUUCUCAAUUUUCUCAAAAUCCCCUUAUUUACUAUCGAAGUAAACGAGCUUGGUUUCAAAAUACCGGCACUCAAAGAAUCAACAAAAAUUCGUUUUAUUUUAGGUAAAAAAUUGUAGAAGCAUAUAUAUAGGAACAAGUAGAUAGGAAAGGGCAAAUUCUAAGGUUGACUUCAAAAACUCGUAAUAAGCGCUAUUGUAAUGGUGGAUUUGCGCCUGAUCGAAUAAUACUAAAAAGAUAACCUCAUUUGACACCGUGGCUUAGCACAAAAUAGCUCAAGGAGAAGGUUACGUCAUGAUGAGAAGGUUUGCCCAUGUAUCGGUUAUGUAGUAUGCACUAAGAACAAUAAAAUUGCCCACGCAAAAAAAAGAAAUAAGAUUAUAUUAAGCGAGUAUACUCGUGGAGAAAUUGUGGAGAAACCUUAGCAAAAUAACCUUUCAUUUGUGGAGUGUAGGUUUAGUGUUUCGCUUAUUAGUUUAGCAAGACUUUUGGAUCAAGGUAGGGGAGCAACGCUAAAAGAAAAGGUAGAAGGAAAAGACAAGGAACAAAAAAGAUGUGAGGAGGAAGUGAAAUAGUAGAUUGAGAAGACAUAAAACUAGAAAUUAUUGUUAGAUAUUGGAGAAUUGGGGAAAUCCUUAGAAAUGAGUUAAAAAAAGAAAGUGGGCUUUUGCAUAAAUAUUAGGCGAUAAAUGAAUUAAGUGGAUAAAUGGGUACUUUUUGUAAGUACAUGUUGGAAAGAGAAAUCUUCUGUAGAUUAGUUUUCUUUCAAUUGUUUUCAAAACAAUUUCAAAUUCUUUUUGAGGUUUUUUUCUACCUUUUUUGUACCUUUGGUUUUUGAAAUUUACUGUUUUAACCGAUAAACCCGGUUUUUCCAAGCGACUAGUACAGUUUAGUCGCUAAUAGAAAUCCAUUUUCAGACGGCAUUAUUGAAAUACCGAUAUAAGUACUUUUGUAAUUAGAAGCAAUGUGUGGACAAAAGGCUUGGCUGAGCAGAGAGAUACUUUUGUGGUCGGAUUUAGUCUCAUACCGAAAAAAAAAUAUUGGUAAAGGCAGAAAAAUAAAGAAAGAAAGAGGACAAAUGUUAAAAUUCACUA
Molecule: long non-coding RNA, 1764 nt
Filed under: Schizosaccharomyces pombe (fission yeast)
Lineage: Eukaryota; Fungi; Ascomycota; Schizosaccharomycetes; Schizosaccharomycetales; Schizosaccharomycetaceae
Source: RNAcentral